AUUAAUACCGCAUAACAUUACAUUUUCGCAUGAAGAAGUAAUUAAAGGAGCAAUCCGCUACAAGAUGGGCCCGCGGCGCAUUAGCUAGUUGGUGAGGUAGCGGCUCACCAAGGCGACGAUGCGUAGCCGACCUGAGAGGGUGAUCGGCCACAUUGGGACUGAGACACGGCCCAGACUCCUACGGGAGGCAGCAUG
Molecule: ribosomal RNA, 195 nt
Filed under: uncultured bacterium
Lineage: Bacteria
Description: partial 16S ribosomal RNA
Rfam family: Bacterial small subunit ribosomal RNA
Source: RNAcentral